This 1890-nucleotide long non-coding RNA is filed under the name Medicago truncatula (barrel medic). Its description in RNAcentral is "long non-coding RNA (MTRU_LNC003793)". Lineage: Eukaryota; Viridiplantae; Streptophyta; Magnoliopsida; Fabales; Fabaceae. The record is from RNAcentral.
UAUUAAUUAGCUGAACAUAAAAAUAUAUAUAUAUAUUAUUAGUUGUACAUACAGUGUAACUGUUUGGAAAAUUAGCUAAUAAACAGUUAUAUGUUAUUUUUAUUAUUAUCCCUCAUCAAACAAAGGUUUACUGUUUAAGCAAGUUCCAUAUGCUGUAGUAGUUACCCUUCUCAGUUAGAGAAUAUUAUCUGCAUGCACCACAGAAAAAGUUUGAAUUAUAAGUAGCAAAAAAAAUGAUUGUUUAUUAUGGAUGAGUGCAUUUUUUAGAAAAAUAAAUCCCUUCUAUUGGUCUUUGAGAUCUAACUCAAAACUGAACUUGUUAAGCUAAAUAUUUUUGUGAUAAGCUAUCUAUAUACAUAAAUAAAAUAAAAAAUCCAUUCCAUCAAGAUGACUUGUGUCUAUCUACUCUCUGAGUAUGGACGUAGAUCAUUUACAAAAAAAAAUUCAAAUUGUUUCUUAUUUAUUUUAUAUAUAAUAAACUUGUUUACUUUGCAUCUGUGUAGGUCGUAGUUUUCACAAAACAAAUCCAGAUUUGAUAAAAGUAUACAUCAAAUAUGAACGACAUUUGGGGCUAGAAAACACGAUCAAAUAUAUGAGAUCUAGAGUUUAAACUCUAGUUUCUACAGUAACAUUAAUUCUUUUAUAAAAGAAUACGAUAAGGAAGGAAUUGAUCAAUCCCACUUGAAUUAAGUAGUACUACGAUAUGGAAUUAUGGGGCAGUAGUUAUUAAACCUAUACUCAAAGUUGCAAGAAACAAACAAGAAAGAAGAAGAAUAUAUAUAUCUUUGCACGCAAAAAAUAUUAUAAAUCUUUUAGUCAUAAGUAGUUAUGAUUGCUUAUAAAAAAAGUUAUGAUUAAUUUGCUAAAAUUCAAAGAGAUCAACAUAGAAGGAGAAGACAUGUAACUAAGGUCGUGACAUAGAUCUAGAAAAAAAAACUUUUAUUUAUGUUGGAGAGACCUAAUUUGAUGAGCCGCAUAAAAUUAAACAAAUAGAUAGAUAUAUAAAAAAGAAAAGAUCAUUAAUUAAUAUUAAGAUUUAAGAGAGUUCAAUACAAAGGGAUGGAAAAUCAAAUGAAAUACUACAAACAUAGAUCAAAUCAAGAACAUAUAAAAGAUAACAAGUUUUGUAUCACUUUUCAUGAAUACAUAAACCCUAGAUAUCUAGAUUCAAGAACUUUCUUACCAUGGAAAGUAAAGGGAAAAAACUUCACCAACAUCAAGAAAAAGUUUACAAAAACAAAGAACACAUAAAAGCUAUAGUAAAAAGUGGAGUCAAACUAACUUGCUUGGUGUAGCAAAUUAAUUAUGAAUCGGACCAAGAUGCUUGAUUCCCCAUAUAAGAGCUUGAAAGAGAGUUUGAGAAUGAAUGAAAGUACUAGUGCACCCUUCUUCAGUCAUAAACUAUGCAAGAACAAAGCUCACAUAAAAGAAGAAAAUGAUGGUAGCUAGUGGGGGGUGCAUAUAAUAAUAGUGCAAACUUUUUUGAUUGUUGAAGCAAUACAAGUUUCUGAAAUAAAAGAGUGGAGUGAGAUCUUGACCUUGUUUUUUUUUCUCUGUGAGUUGUAGUAAUGAUGGUGCCUUUAGGAUUGUGGGGUGGUUGAGACCUAAAGGGAAGAGGAUGAUGUGGGCAUAAUGAUGGUGAUUGAGAACAAAACAACAGAGAGACAUGAUGAUGAUGAUUUCUGGCGUUGAAAUAGAGGAGGCAGUACAAGUAUUUUGUGCACCCUUUCUUUAUCUCUUCUGACAUUUUGGAGAGAGAGAGAAAGAGAAUGAUUAUGAGAGUGUGCAUCCACUUAUGAAACCUAUAAGCUGGUCUACACUCUACAAUUAUUUAUAGACUAUAUAGCACUCCAACAUAAAGGCAAUACGACUAACCUAAACAAAAGUUUA